Molecule: long non-coding RNA, 1607 nt
Organism: Daphnia carinata
Lineage: Eukaryota; Metazoa; Arthropoda; Branchiopoda; Diplostraca; Daphniidae
Exons: 4
Source: RefSeq, a predicted model, not a curated record
ACACAGUCACUUGCGACUUGGUGUUUUACGACGAUUUGUACGACCACUGUACUCUAUGCCUUCACAACGUUUACGUGAUUCCCGUGGCUGAAACUCUGCUUUGCUAAAGGUCAUCGUCAGUUAUAUAGAAUUUAUAUAUAGUGCCCAUCCCCAAAGGUUUUAUCAGACAGUGUCAACCGAGCAAACAUCAAACGAGGUUCUGCGACGAGCAAAAGCUCUUCCUGCGAAAGGCGCUUCUUGUUUGUUAGUGGGUAAUCAAAAAACAUUUUGAUGAAAUUAAUGAACACCUGCUGGGUAAGUUUGAUAAACCAUUUUUAAACUUUCCUUAAAGUUUAAGUUCGAGCAGUGCUCUCUUUGUUCUAUCAAAACCGCCAUCCAAUAAUCUGUACGUAUAAGCUACGAUUGUCACGUUCUUCAUAUCAGAUUUUAGGAAUAGUAUUAAAUCAUUUGUUUUGAUUACUUCCAGAAAAUGCCUAACAGGCUUCCAUUGCACAUCAAUUUUUCAUUAAAAGAAAUACUCUAAACUGCAAAGAUAAUUACAAUUUGCAUCGCAACAUUUUAUACUGCGGUUCCCGGUAAGGCAAAAUAAAAGGACCAUCAGCUCAAAUGCAAUGGAUCUGAGCUCGAUGUGUCAACGCUCGAACAUCAUUUAAAAUCUACAUCACAUCUUGGCAACGUCUUUUUGUGCGAGAGGACAUUCAGCUCAAACGCGAAAAAUCUAGAUCCGGAAUAAAACAUAAGUCUUCCAUUUUAUGUCUAAAAACGGCUUGCUUUGAAUUUCAAUCGUAUCACAAUUGAAGACUUUUUCCAUACAUUUUUUUCGAAGCCAGCAACACGAACCACAGCCGAGAUCACGGAAGGCUGUCAAACGCUUACAGAGCUUCAUGUAUUACUUCAUAAUUGAUACGAGGUGUUUGCAUCGUAUGUUCUCAAAAGCCACGCAAUAUCGGAUUUGAAUCUUCGUGCCGAAGUCCUAGAUCCUCCAUUCCGUUAAUGUUGUGAGCCAAUCCGCUCGACAUAAUCCAGGUAAGGCUUUAGGUAUUAGUUUUAAGUUCUCCAUAAAGCUACUUACGGAAACCCUCGAUCUAAAUCCUUUGUAGAGCACAGAACCUUUAAGCUUUAGAUUACAGGUCCUUUAUGGCUCGGAUCACCUAAUUCCUCUGUUGUUGAUGUUUCGACAGCAACAUUUCUAGCCAAUGAAUUUGAAACUUCUCACCACUGAAAGUCAAUCAUUAGCCGAUAAAAAAAAAGACGCAGUGUUCAGUGUAUGCUGGGUCGUAUAUUUUGUUCUCUAUGAGCUGCGAGGUUCCUAUUUACGUUGAGCCUGCUCCGCACCGGCCAAAACCAAACGGAUGAACAAGAUGAACACAGUUGUACAAAUGCCACCCUUCAACCAUUCAACUUUUGACGGCUUGAAAAUGAAUUGCCUAAAACAAGUUUGGCAGUAUGCAGCGCGAAUUACAUUUUUCAAUAGAACUCUGAUCCUGGUUGCGUGCAAUAUGGCCCGUUUUACCUGUACGAAUAAUACUACCCAUUGCACCCGUAAAAAAAGUCGAAAGCAAAGCGUAGACUAUGGUUGGACUUCUCAAGGUAUCAACGAUCCUGUG